Non-coding RNA from Pan troglodytes (chimpanzee), 148 nucleotides. It matches the Rfam family "Metazoan signal recognition particle RNA". Rfam says of the family: The signal recognition particle (SRP) is a universally conserved ribonucleoprotein. It is involved in the co-translational targeting of proteins to membranes. NCBI's taxonomy places the organism in Eukaryota, Metazoa, Chordata, Mammalia, Primates, Hominidae. The record is from Rfam.
GCUGGGCGUGGUGGUGCACGCCUGUAGUCCUAGCUACUUGGGAGGCUGAGGCAGGAGAAUCGCUUGAACCUGGGAGGCAGAGGCUGCAGUGGGCUGAGAUCAUGCCACUGCACUCCAGCCUGGGCGACAGAGUGAGACUCAGUCUCAA